ACCGUGGCGAGGUCCCGUUCUCGUUUGUCAACACCCUCACAUCAAAUCAAAGAAGGAAGAUAAACUAGACGAGAGUGAAAUGGACCCGCGCACUGAUCCCUCCCCACAGCUGCUCCGCUCGCAUCUCCUCCACGCACGUCGUCGUCAAGGCGCAACGCAAUGGACCGGCCGCCUUCUCCGCCGCAGCUCCGCGUCCUGGAGAGCACCGUCGUAGCGCCACCGCCGGCGCCGGAGACCUCCCUCCCGCUCACCUUCUUCGACGUCUACUGGCUUAACUCCCCGCCGGUGGAGCGCCUCUUCUUCUACCGCCUCACCCCAGGCCCGGAUGGCGUCCCCUCGGCCAUCACCUCCAGCCUGAGGUCCUCGCUCUCCCACGCCCUCCGCGCCUACUUCCCGCUCGCCGGCCGCCUCCGCCUCAUGCCCGGCACCGCCGACCGCUACGAGCUCCACUACCGGCCCGGCGACGGCGUCGGCUUCACCGUCGCCGAGUACGCCGCCGACGUCGACGAGCUAGCGGCCGACGGGCCGAGGGAGGUCGCCAGGAUCUUGCCGCUCGUGCCGCCUCUCUCGGCGGGGGUCGGCCCCGUGCUCGCCCUGCAGGCCACCGUGCUCCGCGGCGGCCUCGCCGUCGGCAUCUCCCUGCACCAUGCCGCCUGCGACGGGGCCUCCUCCACGCGCUUUCUCCAUGCCUGGGCCGCCGCCAGCACCGGCGCCGCCGCGCCCCCGUCCCCUCUCAUCGACAGGAGUCUCGUCACCAGGCACCCCAGCUCCCGCCACAUCUACGACAUGUACGUCGCAGACCUCACGAGCACCAAGGAGAUGGAGUACGUCGAGAUGUCCAGCGACAAGCUCCUGGCCACCUUCACGCUCUCCAUGGACGACAUACAGCGGGUCAAGGACGUCGUCUUCGCCGCGGCCGGCGAGGCGGGAGCGCCGCCGCCGCGAUGCUCCUCGCUCGUCGCCACCUUCGGCCUCAUCUGGUCCUGCUACCAGCGCGCCAAAUACGACGACGACGCAUCAUCAAGCGGCGGCGACCCGACCUACAUCCUCUUCCCCAUCGACCACCGCGCGCGGAUGAAGCCCGACCCCGUCCCGGACGAGUACCUCGGCAACUGCAUCGGCGCCGCCCAGCACGCCGCGCCCAAGGACCAGCUCGCGGCGGCCGGCGCCGGAGGCAUCCUCACCGCGUGCACUGCGGUGGCCGCGGCCAUCGAGGACGCGAUGGGUCACACCGCGUCCCCCGAGAAGAUGGUGUCGUGGCCGGAGAAGAUCAGGGAGGCCGUCGCGACCGGCGGCGGGGUGCUGAGCGUGGCCGGGUCGCCGAGGUUCCAUGUCUACGACGUCGACUUCGGGUUCGGGCGGCCGGUCAAGGUGGAGAUCGUGUCCGUGGCGAGGACCGGCGCCAUGGCUUUGGCGGAGAGCCGCCGGAGCAGCGGCAUGGAGGUGGGCAUCUCCCUGCCGCCGGCUGGCAUGCAGAGGUUCCAAAAGUGCUUCGAUGAUGCCAUUGCAUGGCUUCAUCACCAGUAAACAAGCUAGCGAUAUAUACACUCUACCCGAGUUCAUCUUUUGUAUAUGCAUCCUUGGACUCUUGAAUAUACAUUGUAAUUUUAUAAUUGGUACUUGCUAUUUAACAGGCAACUAAAAAUAAAUUUGAGAUC
This is an RNA transcript of Hordeum vulgare subsp. vulgare (domesticated barley), 1658 nucleotides long. It is a transcript of the gene named malonyl-CoA:anthocyanidin 5-O-glucoside-6''-O-malonyltransferase-like, with no coding region annotated. The transcript has a single exon. The record is from RefSeq and is a predicted model, not a curated record. NCBI's taxonomy places the organism in Eukaryota, Viridiplantae, Streptophyta, Magnoliopsida, Poales, Poaceae.